GUUUUCUCGAAUUAAGAAGAGCUAUAACUGUAUAUAUUUAUCUGUGGUAUAAAAUUUUUUCAUACGGUUAUAGGGGUGAAAUGCUAUUCGUUUUUUAAUAUAUCUAGUUUCUUAAGAAAUAAAUUUAAUUUAGUUUCUUCAGUAUGUUUAGUUGAUUGUUUAGUUGUUCAUGUGAAGUAUUUAAUAUCAUAAGGGAUAAGCUUUGUGAUAGAUUUAUAUAACUCUGUGUAUGAUACUUUAAAGUUUGUAGAAUUGGAAAUGUUUAUCUUUAGUUUGUUAUAAUUAAUUUUAGGUCGAAUAAGAUUUAUAUAAUUGUUUAUGUUUUAUAUUAAGAUUAUUUAUUGAAUUGAAUUUUAUGUGUAAUUAUGAUAAAAUUAGUAUAAUUAUUUGUAUAAAGUAGUUAAAUUGUCAGGUUAAAUCAAGGAAUUCGGCAAAUUACUUUUCGCCUGUUUAUUAAAAACAUGUCUUUUUGAUUAUAAUUUAAAGUCUGACCUGCCCAAUGAGUAGUUUAAUGGCCGCGGUAUUUUGACCGUGCAAAGGUAGCAUAAUCAUUAGUUUUUUAAUUGGAAGCUGGAAUGAAUGGUUGGACGAGAAAGUUACUGUCUCGGUUUAAUUUUUAUUAGAAUUUUAUCUGUAAGUAAAAAAGCUUACAUUAUUUUAAAAGACGAGAAGACCCUAUAGAAUUUUAUAGUGUUUAUUUUUAUUGUUGUUAGAUAUUUUAAUAUUAAAGGUUUAUAGCUAUUUUGUUGGGGCGACAGAAAAAUUGGUUUAACUUUUUUUAAUUUAGUUCAUUAAUUUAUGUUUAAUUGAUCCAUCUUUGAUGAUUAUAAGAUUAAAUUACCUUAGGGAUAACAGCGUAAUUUUUUUCUAGAGUUCUGAUCGAAAAAAGAGUUUGCGACCUCGAUGUUGGAUUAAAAUUAACUUUUGGUGCAGGAGCUAAAAGGUUAGGUCUGUUCGAC
This 959-nucleotide ribosomal RNA is filed under the name Bothynus sp. Bot. Its description in RNAcentral is "partial 16S ribosomal RNA". The stretch from base 414 to 613 matches the Rfam family "Archaeal large subunit ribosomal RNA", at positions 1797 to 2106 of the family's 2987-position model. The record is from RNAcentral. Lineage: Eukaryota; Metazoa; Arthropoda; Insecta; Coleoptera; Scarabaeidae.